This 393-nucleotide ribosomal RNA is filed under the name uncultured bacterium. RNAcentral's name for it is "bacterial SSU rRNA". It matches the Rfam family "Bacterial small subunit ribosomal RNA", at positions 28 to 424 of the family's 1533-position model. The record is from RNAcentral.
GACGAACGCUGGCGGCGUGCUUAACACAUGCAAGUCGAGCGGUAAGGCCCUUUCGGGGGUACGACGAGCGGCGAACGGGUGAGUAACACGUGGGUGACCUGCCCUUAGCUCUGGGAUAAGCCUGGGAAACUGGGUCUAAUACCGGAUAUGACUCCAUGACGCAUGUUGUGGGGUGGAAAGCCUUGUGCGGCUAGGGAUGGGCCCGCGGCCUAUCAGCUUGUUGGUGGGGUGAUGGCCACCAAGGCGACGACGGGUAGCCGGCCUGAGAGGGCGACCGGCCACACUGGGACUGAGACACGGCCCAGACUCCUACGGGAGGCAGCAGUGGGGAAUCUUGCGCAAUGGGCGAAAGCCUGACGCAGCGACGCCGCGUGAGGGAUGACGGCCUCGGUU